RNAcentral lists this ribosomal RNA (253 nucleotides) under uncultured bacterium. RNAcentral's name for it is "partial 16S ribosomal RNA". It matches the Rfam family "Bacterial small subunit ribosomal RNA", at positions 524 to 776 of the family's 1533-position model. The record is from RNAcentral.
UACGUAGGCAGCGAGCGUUGUUCGGAGUUACUGGGCGUAAAGGGUGCGUAGGCGGUUUUCCAAGUUUGGGGUGAAAUCUCCCGGCUUAACUGGGAGGGUGCGCCGAAAACUAGGAGACUUGAGUACCGGAGAGGUAAGCGGAAUUCCUGGUGUAGCGGUGAAAUGCGUAGAGAUCAGGAGGAACACCUGUGGUGUAGACAGCUUACUGGACGGUCACUGACGCUGAGGCACGAAAGCGUGGGUAGCAAACAGG